Molecule: ribosomal RNA, 497 nt
Filed under: uncultured bacterium
Lineage: Bacteria
Description: partial 16S ribosomal RNA
Rfam family: Bacterial small subunit ribosomal RNA
Source: RNAcentral
GACGAACGCUGGCGGCGUGCCUAAUACAUGCAAGUUGGGCGCUAAAGGUUGGUGCUUGUACCAACUGGCUGUGCAGCGUAAGGGUGAGUAACGCGUGGGGAAUCUGACUUUUAGCGGGGGACACCAUUUGGAGACGAAUUCUAAUACUGCAUAAAAACUUUAAUCACAAGUUUAAAGUUUGAAAGAUGCCAUUGCGUCACUCAAAGAUGAUCCCGCGUUGGAUUAGCUAGUUGGUGAGGUAAGGGCGCACCAAGGCGAUGAUACAUGGCCGACCUGGGAGGGUUAUCGGCCACAUCGGGACUGAGACACGGCCAAAACUCCUACGGGAGGCAGCAGUAGCGAAUCUGCGGCGAUGGAGGAAAGUCUGACCGAGAAACGCCGCGUGAGUGGAGAAGGUUUUCGGAUCGUAAAACUCUGUUUGUAGAGAAGAAAGUGGGUGAGAGUGGAAAGCUCAUCAAGUGACGGUAACUACACAGAAAGGGACGGCUAACUACGUG